GCUCCCGUGGCACAACAGGAUAGCGCAAGGGAUUUCUAAUCCCAAGGUUGUAGGUUCGAGUCCUACCGGGGGCA
RNAcentral lists this transfer RNA (74 nucleotides) under Gammaproteobacteria bacterium. RNAcentral describes it as "tRNA-Arg". It matches the Rfam family "tRNA". From Rfam's summary of the family: Transfer RNA (tRNA) molecules are approximately 80 nucleotides in length. Their secondary structure includes four short double-helical elements and three loops (D, anti-codon, and T loops). The record is from RNAcentral. Lineage: Bacteria; Pseudomonadati; Pseudomonadota; Gammaproteobacteria.